GACGAACGCUGGCGGCGUGCUUAACACAUGCAAGUCGAACGGAAAGGCCCUGCUUUUGUGGGGUGCUCGAGUGGCGAACGGGUGAGUAACACGUGAGUAACCUGCCCUUGACUUUGGGAUAACUUCAGGAAACUGGGGCUAAUACCGGAUAGGAUCUCCUGCUGCAUGGUGGGGGUUGGAAAGAUUCGGCGGUUGGGGAUGGACUCGCGGGUUAUCAGCUUGUUGGUGGGGUAGUGGCUUACCAAGGCUUUGAGGGGUAGCCGGCCUGGGAGGGUGGCCGGCCACCUGGGGACUGAGAGAGGGACCAGACGCGAACGGGACGCAGCAGUGGGGAACAUGGCACAAUGGGCGGAAGCCAGAGGCAGCAACGUCGGGUGCGGGAUGACGGCUUUCUAGUUGAGAACAGCUUUCGCCUGUGACGAAGAGUGAGUGACGGUAAUGGGUAAAGAAGCAACGGCUAACUACGUG
RNAcentral lists this ribosomal RNA (468 nucleotides) under uncultured bacterium. RNAcentral's name for it is "partial 16S ribosomal RNA". It matches the Rfam family "Bacterial small subunit ribosomal RNA", at positions 28 to 507 of the family's 1533-position model. The record is from RNAcentral.